This 6583-nucleotide long non-coding RNA is filed under the name Mytilus galloprovincialis (Mediterranean mussel). Lineage: Eukaryota; Metazoa; Mollusca; Bivalvia; Mytilida; Mytilidae. The record is from RNAcentral.
AUUUUUAAAGGGUAAGCCUGAAAUACCACUUUCACACGGAUACAAGCACCAGCGAAGAAAAUGGACCACAGAAGAGUGUUAACCAUUGUUUACCUUGUCUGUAUUGUAAUUGUAAAAUCUUACAAUUUUGAUGUGAGUAGUUUACUGCAAAAUCAUAAAUUCUUGUGAGGUUCUUUUUUAUUAAUGCGUAAAAUGUGACAGAGUGGUAAACGCAAUUAUUUAAACUCGCAUUUUGAAAUAUUGUAUAUGGAUAAAACAGGAUUAUUCUCAAAAUCGUAAAACUUAAAAUCGCACUUCAGUUUUAUAUGACAAAAUCGCAAUAAUAAAUGCACGCAAUAAUUUCUGAAUUUACAGUCUUGUUUUAAAUUUUUCAUUUUUAUACCCUUAUAAUAGCCUGAAUAUUGAUGUUAACACAUGCAUUUUGAGUACCGGGAUGGGGGAGGUAUAAUGAGUUGUUGAAAAGAAUUCAGACUUUGUUGAUAAUUAUAAACAUCCAAAUAUAAAUUACAAAUUGUUUCUCAAUUUAUUAUUUUUAUGUUUGUGUUUGUUUAAUGGAAUCCGAAAUAAAUGUACAAAAAUCAUGUUAAGUUCAUUUAUGAAAAUUAUUAUUACAUUUAAGAAAUAUGAUAAGAUGUAGUAAAAAUAUUUACGGUACCAACUGUUCUGCAACAAAUGCGCAUUAUUAUAAUAUAGUUUCCUUAAUGAUGGAUAAAAUAUAUGAAAUCCAAAGCGUAUAAAAAGAUUGAAGUUAUAUCGAAUAAGAUGCAGUUGAGAGGAAAUAGGGAAAAAGAUAAAAACACAACAACUAAAAUGUUUAUUAUAACACACACGAUAUUACAGAUGUUUCGAUUCUCAAAAUGUUCUCACACUUUUCGAAACAAGUCUAAAUGCAAAACUAAAAUCCAAUGAUAAUCAUAAGGGAAUAAAAGGGACAAACGAAUCUACAGGAAACACCAUUACCAAAAGAAUACUCAACUAAAACAAAACGAAACGUCAAUAGUACUCAACUAAAAUUACUGAAAAUUCACAGAUUUGAUUUGUUGUUCUCAAGAAUAGCAAGUAUCAAUUAACAGGCAAAUUAUUUCUUGACGACAUAUAUAAUGUUGUUAGGUUAUGUCAAACUUAUUAGUGUUAAGCUUGUCCCUCGUUUGCCUUCAUGUUAACUGUCUUACAACAAGCUUCCCGUAGUAAGAUAUGAUUUGUGUAACAUGACAUGAAAACCAAAACAUUGUGCUGAAUAUUCAGGAAAAACGAGAAUAUAUAUGGCUAUGAAAACAGGAAAAUAACAGUAAUCAUCGGUAUUAAAGAUAUGACGUAUAUAAAGAGUAACUAUUAAGUAACUUCAACUUUAGAAGACAUUAGAAUGACUCUUUUUUCCUGUGUUCAUCAUUUUGAAAUACUGGGUAUAAAAUGCAAUGAUAAUAUGAUUUGAAAAGUAAAAUCACAAAAAUACUGAACUCAGAGGAAAAUCAAUUCGGAAAGUCCAUAAUCACAUGGCAAAAUCAAAUAACAAAACGCAUCAAAAAUGAAUGGACAAAAACUGUCAUAUUCCUGACUUGGUACAGGCAUUUUCAAAUGUAGAAAAUGGUGGAUUGAACCUGGUUUUAUAGCUAGCUAAACCUCUCACUUGUAUGACAGUCGCAUCAAAUUUUCAUAUCUACAAAUACCUGACUGUAAUUGUUCCCUUACAAUUGAUCCAUGUUUUUGUCUUCGACAGACCAUGAUAAAACUUCACAAUGUAUAGUUAAUCAAAUAUGGAAGAAAGAAAAACACAAAUAGAUAUUUUUUACCUUAGUAAUGUCAAAAAGAUUAAAUGGAGUGAUAAAGACAAUCAACCGCUAGAAGACUUACAUUUUUUCUCCGUUACGGAAACGUUGACAGUGGUUAUCUAUACAAAACACGUAUAAAUAUGAACAAACAAUUAUUGACAAUAAAGUUUGCAACCCACACUUCACUAAACUAGAUUUUUUUUAUCAAAUCAAUUAGGUUAUUAAAAAAUAUGAUACACAAAUCAGUUAUCUACAAUUAUAGAGAUUAAACGUAAUGAACAAAUUUCUGUCGUAAAGAAUUUACUCGUGCAAAUGAAUCUGAGUUUCUUUUCUCUUUUAAUGAAUUCUGAAUUUGGAGUAUCAAAAUUGCAGAGAGAAAGCUUCCCAUUAUCAGGCUUAUAAUUGAAGAUGAAAGCAGUUUUGAAGCAUAUAUCAUUUGGAAUAUAAUGAGUUAUGAUACCUGUAACCAUAUGAAGUCUCUAUCUGACCAAAUAGAAUAUAAAGGUUUUUUUUAUUAAUGGUGUUUUGGUGAACAAUUAUGAUUACAAUGUAUAAGAAGAACCUGUCAAUAAUAGUCUCUGUAAUAGGUACUAGAAGAUGACUUAACGAUUAUCAAAAGGAACAGAAGGAACACCUUUGGUUUGUUUGUAUUUGGGGGGGGGGUUUCAUUUUGAAUAUACAAUUUGUUGGAUUUCGCAUUUCUCAUUUCUAUUUCAGACUAAUAACAGACCUAUGAAAAACAUAUUUCUCGACGAAUACACAAGAAUGGAUAAACAGCAACAACCCUUAUUAAAGUUAAACCAAAUCCUUCAAGAGUAUUAUAAAAAAGUAAGUUGAUAAAUUAUAGUCUGCUUACGUGAAUAAAUGUUUCCGCAUAUAAAAUUUAUAUGUUCGAAAGGUUCUUCCGGAUGUAAAAUGUAGUCAACAUGAACGCUCAAAACCAAAUAUUUGACAACCAGAGGAGUAUGGGUAAUUAGAAACGCUCUUCGCUAUUUGAUCAAACAGUGGCUAACAAGUUAACCAACUGCGGUCAAGCUUGUCCAACCGAUUUUUUUAAACAGAAUAUUGGAAUUCGAUUCGUUAGGUGUUGGGUUUGUUUUUUAUUUUGUGUUUUUUCAUUUAAAAAUUUCUAAAUGUUUAAGGAUGAUCGAUGGUACCAAAAUUUCAGCAAAAAUUUAAACAUACUUUUUUCAGUGCAAAUUUUAUUUAUUAGACAUAGGAAGAUAUGGUAUGAGUGCACUACAAACCAUUAAAAGUCUGAAAUGGCCUAUAUCUGUACUCGACUGUACUGAUUUUUACUCGACCAGUCUGAAUUGGUCUGAGAGUUACUUGAUAAUACUCGACUGUAGUCUGAACCAUACUUAACAGUCUGAAUGUGUACUUGACCAGUACUUACCCAUUGUAUACGAGUCUGAACCGUACUCGACCUAGUCUGAACCGACUCGACCUAGUCUGAACCGAAUCGACCUCGUCUGAACCAUACUCGACCUCGUCUGAACCAUACUCGACCAGUUCUUUACCAACCUAGACCUAUUCUUUGUAUCUAUCAACUGAAUUUUAUCAAUUUAGGAACUAUUUUUAAUAAAAAAUGAAAUUUGAACAACAACUUGAAAUUAAAAAUGUAUUCAAUACAGUAUUGAAAUUAAAAUUUCACAAUAAUCAAUCAUAAUUUAACUUCAACUCAAUAUUAAUCAACUCGUACAUCAUGUACAUAAUAAUAUAUAUCAACUUUUAAAAUAUAAAUUAAACAAGCUGAUCAAAUAAUCUAAAAAAAUGAAUUGUGAGUAAUAUUUUCAAUAUUAUUCAAAAUUUUAUGAAUGUUUAGGAUGUAUUUUGUGGUAACUGGACUAUUUUCACCAUUAACUUAAGCCUAGUAUAGAUUUAUGGUGUCAGUUGAGUUCAUGUAAUAAUGCAGUGAAUGGUUUUUUAUUAAGAUAUAUAAAUAGUAUAUAAAACAACUUAAUAAAUUUUUUAAAAAAAAUGAGAGCUUAAUUGUUUUGUUUUAUUAAACCAAGAAUUUAAUAUAAUCAUGAUAAUAGAACUUCCAUAGCAAUCCUUGAUAACCUUUUUAAAAAAGCAAAUGUAUUCCAAAGUAACAGUAAAAAAAAAAUCAAUUAAUUUAAGUAUUUUUUUUGUCAAAUUAACAUGGCAUACAUAAUGUGUGUUUUACAGGUAAAAAGAAAGCCCUAUUUUCUUAAAUUCGUGUAUUACUUUUCUAGUACAUACAUGUAUAUUCGAAAGGCCUUGUUAUUUAAUUUAAACAGGAUGUUUCAAUUUUGAAUCAAUGUUAUUUAGAAUUUAAUACCUCUGACCAGAUGUGAUCUUAUUUAUUUAUUUAAUUUCAUCCCUUUUUGAUAUAAGUUAUAUAUAAUAUUUUUUUUUAUCCUAAAUAUAAUCAGAGAUAUAUUUCUUUUAUAAGGUUACAUUUUUUUAUAAAUUGUGUUGGCUGUUGUUAUAUAAAAGUAUAUGUCAGUAAAAAAGAAAUUUAUUUUAACAGUUAAAAAAGUAGAGGUUUUUUGGUCUAGUAUGGUUCAGACUGGUCGAGUAUUGUUCAGACCUUUGGUUAAGUAUGGUUUAGACUGGAAAAAUAGGUCGAGUACAUGUCGAGAAUGGGUUAAGACUGUUUCAGACUGGUCGAGUAAUAGUUCAGACUAUUUUCAACGGCAAAGAUAAGGGUCAAGUAUGAUUCAGUACAGUCAAGUAUGGUUCAGACUUGGGGUCGAGUAAUGUCAAGUAAAAGUCAGACCAAUUCAGACUGGUCGAGUAAAAAUCAGUACAGUCGAGUACAGAUAUAGGCCAUUUCAGACUUUAAUGGUUUGUAGUGGUGCCAAUGAGACAACUCUCCAUCCAAAUAACAAUUUAUAAAAGUAAACCAUUAUAGGUCAAUUGACGGCCUUCAACACGGAGCCUUGGUUCACACCGAGCAACAAGCUAUAAAGCACCCCAAAAUUACUAGUGUAAAACCAUUCAACCAUGAAAACCAACGGUCUAUAGAUAAAGGAAAAUGUGGUGUGAGUGCCAAAAGUAAAUCAUUAUAGGUCAAUGUACGGCCUUCAACACGGAGCCUUGGCUCAAACCGAACAACAAGCUAUAAGGGCCCCAAAAUUGCAAGUGAAAAACCAUUCAAACGGGAAAACCAACGGUCUAAUCUAUAUAAAAUAAAAAAGGAGAAACGAGAAACACGUAUAAAUUACAUUAACAAACGACAACUACUGUACAUCAGAUUCCUGACUUAGAACAGGUGAAAACAUUUGCAGCGGGAUUAAACGUUUUAAUGGAUCCAAACCUUCUCCUUUUUUUCUGAAACAAUAGCAUAACAUCACAACAUAGAACACACACGAUAAAAUAUCAGUUGGCAGGCUUAACUCAAUCAAAAAAGUACAUUAAUACACUAUAAACUAAUACGUUUGAUCUGCGUUUUCACCAGGAUUAAACUUUUAAUUACUCUAUUAGUUGUUACUUUAUCAUAUGGUUCACAAAUCAACUCAAAAAAUCAAUACGUUUUAGCCCCAGAUGACUUUUAAAAUGUUUAUAUUAUUGAAAAGGCUACAAAUUAUCUCCCUUCGAUGCAAAAAAUGUCAUAUUUUUGCAUUAAAAUUGAAAUAUCUUUUUAAACACAUCGGUGACCUAUAUUUGUUAUUAUUGUUUUCGAUUAAGAUGUACUUAAAAUCAAUUAUUGUAAUAUUUAAGCGAUUUCUGUAAUUUAUUUCUUUUUUUAUUUCGAUAUAACCUCUAUUUCUCCUAAUAGUUCAACAGAAAAAAGUACCUUCACAAAAAUGUGUACUUCUUUGAAGAUAUAUUGUGAGCUUAAAUGAACGGUUACCCCAUUUGAAUAUUUUAUCUUUUUAUUAAGUAUAUGAUUAAAGAGGGACGAAAGAUACCAAAAGGACAGUCAAACUCAUAAAUCUAAAACAAACUGACAAAGCCAUGGCUAAAAAUGAAAAAGACAAACAGAAAAACAAGAGUACACAUGACAUAACAUAGAAAACUAAAGAAUAAACAACACGAACCCCACCAAAAAAUAGGGGUGAUCUCAGGUGCUCCGAAAGGGUAAGCAGAUCCUGCUCCACAUGCGGCACCCGUCGUGUUGCUUAUGUGAUUACAAAUCCGGUAAAUAGUCUAAUAAAGUUUAUUUAUAGACAAAUGUAGCGAAAUCCUGUAUUUAAAAAAAAAAGAUUUAUACACGCGAGCCUCCUUAACAUGCUUAAGCUGCUUCAUAACAUUACAGAGAUAACUCUGUAAAAAUCAGCUGAACGUUUAAAUCAGGUGUGUGAUUCAAGUUAUUUAUUUUUUUUUAUAUUUAUGUAAAAAGGUGAAAGUAAACAUCUAGUCAAAAUGUUAUGAUAAAUAAACGAGCCAAAUUAAUUUUGGUCUAGGGGUUUGUUACCACCUAAAGGAGAAAUGGUUUUGCGUCAUAUAAAUAUUUUGUAUUAUUUUUUAUCAUUUGCUAAAGAUAUCUUUUCUGAAAACAUAGUACAUAAAUCGCUGUUACUAUAUAUUAUCUAACAAUCAGCAAGUUUUUGCAUUACUGAUAUUGAAAGACAUAUAUGGAAAGUUAUAUUUUUCUUGUAGGGCAUACAUGUACAGGACAAAUACAAGAGAUUUUCAAUGUGCAAUCCAGGGGAAUGUUCAAAUAAUUGAAUUAUUGAAGAAAAAAUGUUGCAGAAAUACUGGAGUCUGUUAUUUUUCAUAUGAAUUUUACGGUGCAUUUUUUGUGGAGUUUAAUUAAAUGAAUUUUCAAGCAGUUUUUUUUUAACAUUUUGCGUAUCAUUGAGUCAUUUUGUAUCCUCAUUGCUAGAGAAAAUUUAAAAUAC